AUGGGCCUGCGGCGCAUUAGCUAGUUGGUGAGGUAACGGCUCACCGAGGCGACGAUGCGUACCCGACCUGAGAGGGUGACCGGCCACACUGGGACUGAAACACGGCCCAAACUCCUACGGGAGGCAGCAGUAUGGAAUCUUCGGCAAUGGACGGAAGUCUGACCGAUCAACGCCGCGUGAGUGAAGAAGGUUUUCGGAUCGUAAAACUCUGUUGCCCGAGAAGAACGCCAAGGAGAGUAACUGCUCUUUGGGUGACGGUAUCUGAGAAGAAAGCCCCGGCUAACUACGUGCCAGCAGCCGCGGUAAUACGUAGGGGGCAGCGUGUCGAAUUAUUGGGCGUAAAGCGCGCGCAGGCGGUCGUUUAAGUAUGAUGUUUAAACCCAGGGCUCAACCCUGGGUCGCAUUGGAAACUGGGCGACUCGAGUGCAGGAGAGGAAAGUGGAAUUCCACGUGUAGCGGUGAAAUGCGUAGAGAUGUGCAGGAACACCAUGGCCAAGGCGACUUUCUGGCCUGUAACUGACACUGAGCGCGAAAGCGUGGGGAGCGAACAGGAUUAGAUACCCUGGUAGUCCACGCCGUAAACGAUGAAUGCUAGGUGUCAAGAGUUUCGAUACCCUUGGUGCCGAACUUAACACAUUAAGCAUUCCGCCUGGAGAGUACGGUCGCAAGACUGAAACUCAAAGAACUGACGGGACCCGCACAAGCAGUGAGUAUGUGGUUUAAUUCGAAGCACGCGAAAACUUACACGUCGUGACAUCCUUGCUCCUCUAGAGAUAGAGGUUUCCUUUGGGACAGAGGAGACACGUGGUGCACGGUGGUCGUCAGCUCGUGUCUUGAGAUGUUGGGUUAAGUCCCGCAACGAGCGCAACCCCUGAUGCUAGUUGCCACCACUUACUUGGGCACUCUAGGAUGACUGCCGGUGACAAACCGGAGGAAGGUGGGGAUGACGUCAAAUCAUCAUGCCCCUUAUGACCUGGGGUACACACCUACUACAAUGGCCGGUACAACGGGCAGCGAAGGAGCGAUCUCGAGCGAAUCCCAAAAAGCCGGUCUCACUUCGGAUUGCAGGCUGCAAAUCGCCUGCACGAAGUCGGAAUUGCUAGUAAUCGCGGAUCAGCACGCCGCGGUGAAUACGUUCCCGGGUCUUGUACACACCGCCCGUCACACCACGAGAGUUUACAACACCCGAAGUCGGUGGGGUAACCCGCAAGGAGGCCAGCCGCCGA
Molecule: ribosomal RNA, 1226 nt
Filed under: Actinomyces slackii
Lineage: Bacteria; Bacillati; Actinomycetota; Actinomycetes; Actinomycetales; Actinomycetaceae
Description: bacterial SSU rRNA
Rfam family: Bacterial small subunit ribosomal RNA
Source: RNAcentral